UAUUAAUAACACAAAAGAGAUGCAUGUGAUUUACAAAGGAAACAUCAGGCAUUACACUUGACAUGAUCACCUAUGCAUCAAAUGAUAUCCCUCCCUACAAGUAGGUUGAAGUAAGCCAAGUGGAAACUUCAUACCAAAAGGUGGUUUAAGAUGACAUACUAGCUCUGAUCUCCAUUAUCCAGAAUAAAAAGAAAAGUUAAACAACAUAGUAGUAGCUUCAUACUAUAGCCGGUCCACUAAUUAGAACAUACAACACUAGCAAACCCUAGAGACCAGUGGAAUCUCUCACAAUUCAUAGACUCAUAGAAGACUCAUAAGCAUCCUUCAAAGGUCUCGGCACCAUUGGACUCGUCAAGCAUUCGAACAACUUGAGCCACACCAGCUGCAAGUUCCUUCUGAAUGGCACCAUCUGGCAUAUCAAAUGUUCUCCUCCUUGCAACAGAUAAAGGCCUUCCACCAGGUUGGGGGUCGAUAACAUCAAGCAUUGCUUCUAACUCGUCCACUAUGGAUUUCUUUGCAGAUCGGACCAUCAUAUCCACACCCUCAAUGGCAUCAACAGUUAGUAGCAGCACAAUGAUCUUCUCAGAGAACCUCUGGCGCUCCUCAGCAUCACGAGCAACACGUCUACGAUAAGUGAAGUUGUUGAAGAGAGCCCUUAGCUCCUUCAACUUAGUCUUGGCAAUGGCCAGUUCUCUCAGAGCACGCAGUGCCUGAGACCUCUUAAUCAAGUAAGCCCUGAAGCUCAUUUGAAUCGCUAAAGCUGCAUCUUGUGGUGAUAGUUCCUUCCUCUUCCCCCUUCUCUUCUCCACCCUCUUUGCAAAUACCUGUCUUAAGACGAGUGCGCCAUGAUGGGUUGGCUCUUCAAUCUCAACCAAGCGUGUACAACCCACAGAUUUCUUCUUCUUCUUCAUCUUAUCUUUCUUCUCUUUUUUCUGACUUUCAUCGCUAUCGCUAUCGGAAUCAGUGACAUUUGAUGCUUUGAAACUGUAACUACGUGAAUCGUCACCUUUUCCUUUGAUCUCAGCACUAAAUUUGUAGUUUUUAUCCAAAGCCCCUUUCUUCUUACCAUCUUUCACCUCAGCAAUCCACUUAUAUUUCCGAUCAACCCCAUCCUUCUCAGGGCUCUUAAUCUCAGCCGUCCACGUGUACUUCCGCUCCCCAAUUUUAUUCUUCUUCUUCUUCUCCGUCAACAUCCGCUCGAGCGCGGUGACUCGGUCAGAGAGACAUUGCAACUCAGUACCGAGUCCUAUCCGGUGCUGGACCCGGCGAGUAGUGCUGUAAAAAGGGGUUGUUUCGAUUUGGAUCAGAUCGGUAAUGGAAUCGAAAUUUUCUAGAUCGAGGAAGGUAUUGGGUGCAUAAGGCUUAGGGCAGAUGAGAUCGAGAGUGCAGUCAAGCUCAUCUUCAAUGUGGAAGUAUGGGUUUAGAAGUAGGGUUUUGGGGGUGAAAAAUGAAGGAGAAGAAGAGUAGUCGAUGAUGUCAAAUCUCCUGAAGCGGCUCAUUUUCGCUUGAAUCUAGCUAAACCAAAUGCUAAAAACUUG
This 1538-nucleotide unclassified non-coding RNA is filed under the name Hevea brasiliensis (rubber tree). The record is from RNAcentral. Lineage: Eukaryota; Viridiplantae; Streptophyta; Magnoliopsida; Malpighiales; Euphorbiaceae.